CGGGGGGCAGCAGUGGGGAAUAUUGGACAAUGGGCGCAAGCCUGAUCCAGCCAUGCCGCGUGAGUGAUGAAGGCCUUAGGGUUGUAAAGCUCUUUCAGUAGGGAAGAUAAUGACGGUACCUACAGAAGAAGCCCCGGCUAACUUCGUGCCAGCAGCCGCGGUAAUACGAAGGGGGCUAGCGUUGUUCGGAUUUACUGGGCGUAAAGCGCACGUAGGCGGAUCGUUAAGUCGGGGGUGAAAUCCUGGAGCUCAACUCCAGAACUGCCUUCGAUACUGGCGAUCUUGAGUCCGGAAGAGGUGAGUGGAACUCCUAGUGUAGAGGUGGAAUUCGUAGAUAUUAGGAAGAACACCAGUGGCGAAGGCGGCUCACUGGUCCGGUACUGACGCUGAGGUGCGAAAGCGUGGGGAGCAAACAGGAUUAGAUACCCGAGU
RNAcentral lists this ribosomal RNA (432 nucleotides) under uncultured Devosia sp. Its description in RNAcentral is "bacterial SSU rRNA". It matches the Rfam family "Bacterial small subunit ribosomal RNA", at positions 342 to 791 of the family's 1533-position model. The record is from RNAcentral. Lineage: Bacteria; Pseudomonadati; Pseudomonadota; Alphaproteobacteria; Hyphomicrobiales; Devosiaceae.